Molecule: non-coding RNA, 108 nt
Organism: Gossypium arboreum
Lineage: Eukaryota; Viridiplantae; Streptophyta; Magnoliopsida; Malvales; Malvaceae
Source: Rfam
UAGCCAAUGGUGUGGACACUUCAUUAGCAUUGUAUUGAAAUGCUCCCACGCCUCGUAUAAGGACUCACAUUUGUAUUGUUUAAAAUUUGUGAUUUCCUACCAGAGUUG